AUACGAAGGGGGCUAGCGUUGUUCGGAAUUACUGGGCGUAAAGCGCGCGUAGGCGGACUGAUCAGUUGGGGGUGAAAUCCCAGGGCUUAACCCUGGAACUGCCUCCAAUACUGUCAGUCUUGAGUUCGGGAGAGGUGAGUGGAAUUCCUAGUGUAGAGGUGAAAUUCGUAGAUAUUAGGAAGAACACCAGUGGCGAAGGCGGCUCACUGGCCCGAUACUGACGCUGAGGCGCGAAAGCGUGGGGAGCAAACGGGAUUAGAAACCCCAGUAGUCC
Molecule: ribosomal RNA, 274 nt
Filed under: uncultured bacterium
Lineage: Bacteria
Description: partial 16S ribosomal RNA
Rfam family: Bacterial small subunit ribosomal RNA
Source: RNAcentral